AUUUCCGGGAAGAUGGCGGCGCACAAGUCAGGUCCGGCACAUGUUUCCGCGGAGCGGACCCAGCAAUGACGGAUGAUAUCACCUCUUCUUCUCUGGUGAGAGUCUGAGGAUAGAGACUUUUUUCUCACCAUGAAUGUCACCCCAGAGGUCAAGAGUCGUGGGAUGAAGUUUGCUGAGGAGCAGCUGCUAAAGCAUGGAUGGACUCAAGGUAGGACAUGACCCUGCCAAGGAGUUCACAAACCACUGGUGGAAUGAGCUCUUCAACAAGACUGCGGCCAACUUGGUAGUGGAAACUGGGCAGGAUGGAGUACAGAUAAGGAGCCUUUCUAAGGAGACCACCCGUUAUAAUCAUCCCAAGCCCAACUUGCUGUAUCAGAAGUUUGUGAAGAUGGCUACAUUGACUUCAGGUGGAGAGAAGCCAAACAAAGACUUGGAGAGCUGCAGUGAUGACGACAACCAGGGGUCCAAGUCCCCAAAGAUUCUGACUGAUGAGAUGCUGCUCCAAGCCUGUGAGGGGCGAACAGCACACAAG
RNAcentral lists this long non-coding RNA (532 nucleotides) under Homo sapiens (human). RNAcentral describes it as "non-protein coding lnc-GPATCH4-1:4". The record is from RNAcentral. Lineage: Eukaryota; Metazoa; Chordata; Mammalia; Primates; Hominidae.